RNAcentral lists this ribosomal RNA (1197 nucleotides) under Coniocarpon cinnabarinum. RNAcentral's name for it is "LSU rRNA". It matches the Rfam family "Eukaryotic large subunit ribosomal RNA", at positions 177 to 1398 of the family's 3401-position model. Lineage: Eukaryota; Fungi; Ascomycota; Arthoniomycetes; Arthoniales; Arthoniaceae. The record is from RNAcentral.
CGGGGGCAGUUCCCUGGAACGGGACGCCGCAGAGGGUGAGAGCCCCGUACCGCUCGGGGAUCCGCCGCCGCGCGAAGCGCCUUCGACGAGUCGAGUUGUUUGGGAAUGCAGCUCUAAGCGGGAGGUAAAUUUCUUCUAAGGCUAAAUAUCGGCCAGAGACCGAUAGCGCACAAGUAGAGUGAUCGAAAGAUGAAAAGCACUUUGGAAAGAGAGUCAAACAGCACGUGAAAUUGUUGAAAGGGAAGCUCUUGCGGCCAGACGUGCCGCGGCCGCUCAGCCGCCCCCCGGGGUGGUGUACUCGGCCGCGGCGGGCCAGCGUCGAUGCGGGCGGUCGGACAAAGGCCCGGGGAAGGUAGCCCCUCGCGGGGGGUGUUAUAGCCCCGGGUGCCAUACGGCCAGCCCGGAUCGAGGAUCGCGCACGCGAGGACGCUGGCGUAAUGGCCGCAAGCGACCCGUCUUGAAACACGGACCAAGGAGUCUAACAUCUGUGCGAGUGUGCGGGUGUUAAACCCGGACGCGUAAUGAAAGUGAACGGAGGUGGGACCCCCCCGGGGCGCACCAUCGACCGAUCCUGAUGUCCUCGGAUGGAUUUGAGUAAGAGCAUGGCUGUUGGGACCCGAAAGAUGGUGAACUAUGCGUGUUUAGGGUGAAGCCAGAGGAAACUCUGGUGGAGGCUCGCAGCGGUUCUGACGUGCAAAUCGAUCGUCAAAAAUGCGUAUAGGGGCGAAAGACCAAUCGAACCAUCUAGUAGCUGGUUCCCGCCGAAGUUUCCCUCAGGAUAGCAGUCACGUCCCCAGUUUGAUGAGGUAAAGCGAAUGAUUAGAGGCCUUGGGGUUGAAACAACCUUAACCUAUUCUCAAACUUUGAAUACGUCAGACGCCCUUGUUGCUUCGGUGAACGUGGGCCUUCGAAUGUACCGUGACUAGUGGGCCAUUUUUGGUAAGCAGAACUGGCGAUGCGGGAUGAACCGAACGCGAGGUUAAGGUGCCGGACUGCACGCUCAUCAGACACCACAAAAGGUGUUGGUUCAUCCAGACAGCCGGACGGUGGCCAUGGAAGUCGGAAUCCGCUAAGGAGUGUGUAACAACUCACCGGCCGAAUGAACCAGCCCUGAAAAUGGAUGGCGCUCAAGCGUGCGACCCAUACCUCGCCGCCGGGGCAGGACCGACGCCCCGGCGAGUAGGCGGGCGCGGGGGC